CAGCAACGCCGCGUGGAGGAUGACACUUUUCGGAGCGUAAACUCCUUUUCUUAGGGAAGAAUUCUGACGGUACCUAAGGAAUAAGCACCGGCUAACUCCGUGCCAGCAGCCGCGGUAAUACGGAGGGUGCAAGCGUUACUCGGAAUCACUGGGCGUAAAGGGCGCGUAGGCGGAUUAUCAAGUCUCUUGUGAAAUCUAAUGGCUUAACCAUUAAACUGCUUGGGAAACUGAUAGUCUAGAGUGAGGGAGAGGCAGAUGGAAUUGGUGGUGUAGGGGUAAAAUCCGUAGAUAUCACCAAGAAUACCCAUUGCGAAGGCGAUCUGCUGGAACUCAACUGACGCUAAGGCGCGAAAGCGUGGGGAGCAAACAGGAUUAGAUACCCUGGUAGUCCACGCCCUAAACGAUGUACACUAGUUGUUGGGGUGCUAGUCAUCUCAGUAAUGCAGCUAACGCAUUAAGUGUACCGCCUGGGGAGUACGGUCGCAAGAUUAAAACUCAAAGGAAUAGACGGGGACCCGCACAAGCGGUGGAGCAUGUGGUUUAAUUCGAAGAUACGCGAAGAACCUUACCUGGGCUUGAUAUCCUAAGAACCUUAUAGAGAUAUGAGGGUGCUAGCUUGCUAGAACUUAGAGACAGGUGCUGCACGGCUGUCGUCAGCUCGUGUCGUGAGAUGUUGGGUUAAGUCCCGCAACGAGCGCAACCCACGUAUUUAGUUGCUAACGGUUCGGCCGAGCACUCUAAAUAGACUGCCUUCGUAAGGAGGAGGAAGGUGUGGACGACGUCAAGUCAUCAUGGCCCUUAUGCCCAGGGCGACACACGUGCUACAAUGGCAUAUACAAUGAGACGCAAUACCGCGAGGUGGAGCAAAUCUAUAAAAUAUGUCCCAGUUCGGAUUGUUCUCUGCAACUCGAGAGCAUGAAGCCGGAAUCGCUAGUAAUCGUAGAUCAGCCAUGCUACGGUGAAUACGUUCCCGGGUCUUGUACUCACCGCCCGUCACACCAUGGGAGUUGAUUUCACUCGAAGCCGGAAUACUAAACUAGUUACCGUCCACAGUGGAAUCAGCGACUGGGGUGAAGUCGUAACAAGGUAACCGUAGGAGAACCUGCGGUUGGAUCACCUCCUUUCUA
RNAcentral lists this ribosomal RNA (1127 nucleotides) under Campylobacter jejuni. RNAcentral describes it as "bacterial SSU rRNA". It matches the Rfam family "Bacterial small subunit ribosomal RNA", at positions 389 to 1533 of the family's 1533-position model. Lineage: Bacteria; Pseudomonadati; Campylobacterota; Epsilonproteobacteria; Campylobacterales; Campylobacteraceae. The record is from RNAcentral.